Molecule: ribosomal RNA, 464 nt
Filed under: Vreelandella stevensii
Lineage: Bacteria; Pseudomonadati; Pseudomonadota; Gammaproteobacteria; Oceanospirillales; Halomonadaceae
Description: partial 16S ribosomal RNA
Rfam family: Bacterial small subunit ribosomal RNA
Source: RNAcentral
CCUACGGGAGGCAGCAGUGGGGAAUAUUGGACAAUGGGGGGAACCCUGAUCCAGCCAUGCCGCGUGUGUGAAGAAGGCCCUCGGGUUGUAAAGCACUUUCAGUGAGGAAGAACGCCUGGUGGUUAAUACCCAUCAGGAAAGACAUCACUCACAGAAGAAGCACCGGCUAACUCCGUGCCAGCAGCCGCGGUAAUACGGAGGGUGCGAGCGUUAAUCGGAAUUACUGGGCGUAAAGCGCGCGUAGGUGGCUUGAUAAGCCGGUUGUGAAAGCCCGGGCUCAACCUGGGAACGGCAUCCGGAACUGUCAAGCUAGAGUGCAGGAGAGGAAGGUAGAAUUCCCGGUGUAGCGGUGAAAUGCGUAGAGAUCGGGAGGAAUACCAGUGGCGAAGGCGGCCUUCUGGACUGACACUGACACUGAGGUGCGAAAGCGUGGGUAGCAAACAGGAUUAGAUACCCUUGUAGUC